Molecule: ribosomal RNA, 433 nt
Filed under: uncultured bacterium
Lineage: Bacteria
Description: partial 16S ribosomal RNA
Rfam family: Bacterial small subunit ribosomal RNA
Source: RNAcentral
AACGAACGCUGGCGGCAUGCCUAACACAUGCAAGUCGAACGAGGCCUUCGGGUCUAGUGGCGCACGGGUGCGUAACGCGUGGGAACCUGCCCUUAGGUUCGGAAUAACUCCCCGAAAGGGGUGCUAAUACCGGAUAAUGUCUUCGGACCAAAGAUUUAUCGCCUUUGGAUGGGCCCGCGUUGGAUUAGCUAGUUGGUAGGGUAAAAGCCUACCAAGGCGACGAUCCAUAGCUGGUCUGAGAGGAUGAUCAGCCACACUGGGACUGAGACACGGCCCAGACGCGUAAGCGAGGGAGAAGGGGGGAAUGGUGGAGAAGGGACGGAAGUCUGAUGCAGAAAUGUCGCGUGAGUGAUGAAGGCCUUAGGGGGGGAAAGCACUUUUACCCGGGAUGAUAAUGACAGUACCGGGAGAAUAAGCGCCGGCUAACUCGAUG